GCCGACUUAGCUCAGCUGGCAGAGCAUCUGUCUUGUAAACAGGGGGUCGGAGG
Molecule: transfer RNA, 53 nt
Filed under: Ligilactobacillus equi DPC 6820
Lineage: Bacteria; Bacillati; Bacillota; Bacilli; Lactobacillales; Lactobacillaceae
Description: Lactobacillus equi DPC 6820 tRNA
Rfam family: tRNA
About the family: Transfer RNA (tRNA) molecules are approximately 80 nucleotides in length. Their secondary structure includes four short double-helical elements and three loops (D, anti-codon, and T loops). Further hydrogen bonds mediate the characteristic L-shaped molecular structure. tRNAs have two regions of fundamental functional importance: the anti-codon, which is responsible for specific mRNA codon recognition, and the 3' end, to which the tRNAs corresponding amino acid is attached (by aminoacyl-tRNA synthetases). tRNAs cope with the degeneracy of the genetic code in two manners: having more than one tRNA (with a specific anti-codon) for a particular amino acid; and 'wobble' base-pairing, i.e. permitting non-standard base-pairing at the 3rd anti-codon position.
Source: Rfam by way of RNAcentral